ACAACUUUUAGCAACGGAUCUCUUGGCUCUCGCAUCGAUGAAGAACGCAGCGAAAUGCGAUAAGUAAUGUGAAUUGCAGAAUUCAGUGAAUCAUCGAAUCUUUGAACGCACCUUGCGCUCCUUGGUAUUCCGAGGAGCAUGCCUGUUUGAGUGUCAUGAAAUUCU
RNAcentral lists this ribosomal RNA (165 nucleotides) under Trametes suaveolens. Its description in RNAcentral is "5.8S ribosomal RNA". It matches the Rfam family "5.8S ribosomal RNA". From Rfam's summary of the family: 5.8S ribosomal RNA (5.8S rRNA) is a component of the large subunit of the eukaryotic ribosome. It is transcribed by RNA polymerase I as part of the 45S precursor that also contains 18S and 28S rRNA. The record is from RNAcentral. Lineage: Eukaryota; Fungi; Basidiomycota; Agaricomycetes; Polyporales; Polyporaceae.